RNAcentral lists this transfer RNA (72 nucleotides) under Ovis aries (sheep). It matches the Rfam family "tRNA". Rfam says of the family: Transfer RNA (tRNA) molecules are approximately 80 nucleotides in length. Their secondary structure includes four short double-helical elements and three loops (D, anti-codon, and T loops). Lineage: Eukaryota; Metazoa; Chordata; Mammalia; Artiodactyla; Bovidae. The record is from Rfam by way of RNAcentral.
UCCCAGGUGGCUCAACUGGUAAAGAAUCUGCCUGCAAUGUAGGAGACCCGGGUUCAAUUCCUGGGUUGGGAA